CCCACUUCUCAGUCUUCUGACUGAGAUCAAGUGUGGUAUCUGCUCUUACCAGUUUACUAUCUAGUCCAUCCUCCAUUUAAGGACAGUGGAUUAAGUGGAGCUUUGGACCUGGGAGAUGGAAUAGGAGCUCGCUCCAUUUACUCUGUGCUUUGACUUAGUAGACUUAGUAUUGCAGUAAGGGGGGAAAACAA
This is a small nuclear RNA of Grammomys surdaster, 191 nucleotides long. RefSeq annotates it as U2 spliceosomal RNA. Lineage: Eukaryota; Metazoa; Chordata; Mammalia; Rodentia; Muridae. The transcript has a single exon. The record is from RefSeq and is a predicted model, not a curated record.